This 254-nucleotide ribosomal RNA is filed under the name uncultured bacterium. RNAcentral describes it as "partial 16S ribosomal RNA". It matches the Rfam family "Bacterial small subunit ribosomal RNA", at positions 524 to 776 of the family's 1533-position model. The record is from RNAcentral.
UACGGGGGGAGCAAGCGUUGUUCGGAUUUACUGGGCGUAAAGGGCGCGUAGGCGGUCAGCACAAGUCAGUUGUGAAAUCUCCGGGCUUAACUCGGAAAGGUCAACUGAUACUGUGCGACUAGAGUGCAGAAGGGGCAACUGGAAUUCUCGGUGUAGCGGUGAAAUGCGUAGAUAUCGAGAGGAACACCUGCGGCGAAGGCGGGUUGCUGGGCUGACACUGACGCUGAUGCGCGAAAGCGUGGGGAGCGAACAGG